RNAcentral lists this ribosomal RNA (473 nucleotides) under uncultured bacterium. RNAcentral's name for it is "bacterial SSU rRNA". It matches the Rfam family "Bacterial small subunit ribosomal RNA", at positions 328 to 793 of the family's 1533-position model. The record is from RNAcentral.
CGUUAACACUCCUACGGGAGGCAGCAGUGGGGAAUAUUGCACAAUGGGGGAAACCCUGAUGCAGCCAUGCCGCGUGUGUGAAGAAGGCCUUCGGGUUGUAAAGCACUUUCAGUAGGGAGGAAGGUAGUGUAGUUAACACCUGCAUUAUUUGACGUUACCUACAGAAGAAGCACCGGCUAACUCCGUGCCAGCAGCCGCGGUAAUACGGAGGGUGCGAGCGUUAAUCGGAAUUACUGGGCGUAAAGCGCAUGCAGGCGGCCUGUUAAGUCAGAUGUGAAAGCCCGGGGCUUAACCUCGGAAUUGCAUUUGAAACUGGCAGGCUAGAGUCUUGUAGAGGGGGUAGAAUUUCAGGUGUAGCGGUGAAAAUGCGUAGAGAUCUGAAGGAAUACCGGUGGCGAAGGCGGCCCCCUGGACAGAUACUGACACUCAGAUGCGAAAGCGUGGGGAGCAAACAGGAUUAGAUACCCUGGUAG